Molecule: ribosomal RNA, 253 nt
Filed under: uncultured bacterium
Lineage: Bacteria
Description: partial 16S ribosomal RNA
Rfam family: Bacterial small subunit ribosomal RNA
Source: RNAcentral
UACGUAGGUGGCAAGCGUUGUCCGGAAUUAUUGGGCGUAAAGCGCGCGCAGGUGGUUUCUUAAGUCUGAUGUGAAAGCCCACGGCUCAACCGUGGAGGGUCAUUGGAAACUGGGGAACUUGAGUGCAGGAGAGAAGAGUGGAACUCCACGUGUAGCGGUGAAGUGCGUAGAGAUGUGGAGGAACACCAGUGGCGAAGGCGACUCUUUGGCCUGUAACUGACACUGAGGCGCGAAAGCGUGGGGAGCAAACAGG